This 253-nucleotide ribosomal RNA is filed under the name uncultured bacterium. Its description in RNAcentral is "partial 16S ribosomal RNA". It matches the Rfam family "Bacterial small subunit ribosomal RNA", at positions 524 to 776 of the family's 1533-position model. The record is from RNAcentral.
UACGUAGGGUGCGAGCGUUGUCCGGAAUUAUUGGGCGUAAAGGGCUCGUAGGCGGUUUGUCGCGUCGGGAGUGAAAUCCACUGGCUUAACUGGUGGCUUGCUUUCGAUACGGGCAGACUGGAGGUAUGCAGGGGAGAACGGAAUUCCUGGUGUAGCGGUGAAAUGCGCAGAUAUCAGGAGGAAUACCGGUGGCGAAGGCGGCAUCCUGGACCGACAUUGACGCUGAUGAGCGAAAGCUAGGGGAGCAAACGGG